RNAcentral lists this microRNA precursor (62 nucleotides) under Mus pahari (shrew mouse). RNAcentral's name for it is "microRNA 6384 (MGP_PahariEiJ_G0007829.1)". The record is from RNAcentral. Lineage: Eukaryota; Metazoa; Chordata; Mammalia; Rodentia; Muridae.
CAGGGCAGCUUUCCUACUGUUUCCCCUCUAAUCUCAGUGAGCCAUGUGGUGAGGUGGAAUUA